UAGGGAAUCUUCGGCAAUGGACGAAAGUCUGACCGAGCAACGCCGCGUGAGUGAAGAAGGUUUUCGAAUCGUAAACUCUGUUGGUAGAGAAGAACGUUGGUGAGAGUGGAAAGCUCAUCAAGUGACGGUAACUACCCAGAAAGGGACGGCUAACUACGUACCAG
Molecule: ribosomal RNA, 164 nt
Filed under: uncultured bacterium
Lineage: Bacteria
Description: partial 16S rRNA
Rfam family: Bacterial small subunit ribosomal RNA
Source: RNAcentral